CCUACGGGAGGCAGCAGUGGGGAAUUUUGGACAAUGGGCGCAAGCCUGAUCCAGCAAUGCCGCGUGAGUGAAGAAGGCCUUCGGGUUGUAAAGCUCUUUUGUCAGGGAAGAAACGGCUCCAGCUAAUAUCUGGGGCUAAUGACGGUACCUGAAGAAUAAGCACCGGCUAACUACGUGCCAGCAGCCGCGGUAAUACGUAGGGUGCAAGCGUUAAUCGGAAUUACUGGGCGUAAAGCGUGCGCAGGCGGUUUUGUAAGUCUGUCGUGAAAGCCCCGGGCUCAACCUGGGAAUUGCGAUGGAGACUGCAAGGCUUGAAUCUGGCAGAGGGGGGUAGAAUUCCACGUGUAGCAGUGAAAUGCGUAGAGAUGUGGAGGAACACCGAUGGCGAAGGCAGCCCCCUGGGUCAAGAUUGACGCUCAUGCACGAAAGCGUGGGGAGCAAACAGGAUUAGAUACCCUGGUAGUCCACGCCCUAAACGAUGUCUACUAGUUGUCGGUUUUAAUUACUUGGUAACGNAGCUACGCGUGAAGUAGACCGCCGUCGGGGAGGUACGGUCGCGAGAAGUUAAAACGUUAAAAGUUAGUAAGUUAGUACGGCGUGAGACGUAGCCGACGGACGACGACGAGGGAGGAGG
This 634-nucleotide ribosomal RNA is filed under the name uncultured bacterium. RNAcentral describes it as "bacterial SSU rRNA". The stretch from base 1 to 539 matches the Rfam family "Bacterial small subunit ribosomal RNA", at positions 338 to 873 of the family's 1533-position model. The record is from RNAcentral.